UGGAGGACCGAACCGACUAAUGUUGAAAAAUUAGCGGAUGACCUGUGGCUGGGGGUGAAAGGCCAAUCAAACCGGGAGAUAGCUGGUUCUCCCCGAAAGCUAUUUAGGUAGCGCCUCGUGAAUUCAUCUCCGGGGGUAGAGCACUGUUUCGGCUAGGGGGCCAUCCCGGCUUACCAACCCGAUGCAAACUGCGAAUACCGGAGAAUGUUAUCACGGGAGACACACGGCGGGUGCUAACGUCCGUCGUGAAGAGGGAAACAACCCAGACCGCCAGCUAAGGUCCCAAAGUCAUGGUUAAGUGGGAAACGAUGUGGGAAGGCCCAGACAGCCAGGAUGUUGGCUUAGAAGCAGCCAUCAUUUAAAGAAAGCGUAAUAGCUCACUGGUCGAGUCGGCCUGCGCGGAAGAUGUAACGGGGCUAAACCAU
RNAcentral lists this ribosomal RNA (425 nucleotides) under Salmonella enterica. RNAcentral's name for it is "partial 23S ribosomal RNA". It matches the Rfam family "Bacterial large subunit ribosomal RNA", at positions 767 to 1190 of the family's 2925-position model. Lineage: Bacteria; Pseudomonadati; Pseudomonadota; Gammaproteobacteria; Enterobacterales; Enterobacteriaceae. The record is from RNAcentral. RNAcentral also lists the same sequence under 2 other names.